UGGAUUUGUGCUCAGAAGAGCAGGACGGUGGCCAUGGAAGUCGGAAUCCGCUAAGGAGUGUGUAACAACUCACCUGCCGAAUCAACUAGCCCUGAAAAUGGAUGGCGCUGGA
Molecule: non-coding RNA, 112 nt
Filed under: Pterocles gutturalis (yellow-throated sandgrouse)
Lineage: Eukaryota; Metazoa; Chordata; Aves; Pterocliformes; Pteroclidae
Description: Eukaryotic large subunit ribosomal RNA
Rfam family: Eukaryotic large subunit ribosomal RNA
Source: Rfam by way of RNAcentral